RNAcentral lists this long non-coding RNA (378 nucleotides) under Vitis vinifera (wine grape). RNAcentral describes it as "long non-coding RNA (VVIN_LNC008182)". The record is from RNAcentral. Lineage: Eukaryota; Viridiplantae; Streptophyta; Magnoliopsida; Vitales; Vitaceae.
AACAAUUAGAUAUAGAAUUUCAUGCACAAUCCUAUAAUGAUGAUUUUUUUUUUUUCCUUUUGGCAUUUUGCUCACACCAGAUAUUCAAAAGUGGCAUGCCACCUUGAAAAGAAAGGCAAGGUAGUCCAUUCAGACAGUCCCCUACUGCCCUCUGCCUCUUAUCUAUCAUGCACCCUGAAGGAUUUGCUUCUUCAGUUCUGCUAUAGUGUAUUUUUGGUAGAUGAUUUGCAAUGCUGUAGGAAGAGACUAGCUAACUGAAGUCAAAGCAUGAUAGCUACCCUAAAAAUGAAAUGAUGCUAUUGAUAUUAGAGUUAAAGAUGGAUCCUAAUUAUUACUUUAAAAAAAACAUAUUUUAAAUAAUAAUUCUCAUGAAUUUCA